GCCAGGCGGAUGUCGACACUGCAGUCGGUAGAGCAGGGGAUUGAAAAUCCCCGUGUCCUUGGUUCGAUUCCGAGUCCGGGCACCA
Molecule: transfer RNA, 85 nt
Filed under: Escherichia coli
Lineage: Bacteria; Pseudomonadati; Pseudomonadota; Gammaproteobacteria; Enterobacterales; Enterobacteriaceae
Description: tRNA-Phe
Source: RNAcentral